AAAACUAGAGUUUUGAAAAGGUAAAAUUUAGGAAUUAGGCUAAAUGUUAACAUUUUUACCAUAGCAUUUAGCUAGUCCUUAUAGCACUUUGAUUUUUAUGACAUUAUUAUAAAGUUGAGCAGGAAUAUUGAGAAAUAGAAAGAUAAUAGAAAGUAAUUAGUUGCAAAAUAAUUUUAAGUACUAAUCUUUCAGUACCAAGCAUUUCUAAUGCACUCAUGUUGACAAAUAAAAAAACUAUAAUUUCCUAUCUACAAAUUAUCCUAUAAAAUUAAAGAUGAAAAACCAUAGCAUUUGGGGGAGGUAGCUUGGGGAAGUGGGGAAUGGGAUGGGACAGAUAACAUAGUGGUUAAGAAGUUUGACUUAGUUUAUACUUGCUAAUAAGAAGCAAAACCAGGAACAAAACUCAAGUUUUGAUAGACCAUUUCCUAGUUUACUGAGUCACCCCCUAUUUUUUCUUUUUAAGCUAAAUUUGAUGAGCCCUAUAUCACGUAACUGUUUUCAAGAUUUUUUUCCUGCAUGAUUUCACCUCACCCCAUAGCCAGAGUCAGUGUGGUUUUAGUAAGCAUCAAUCAGUCAGGAAAAUAAGCCAUUUAGCCCUAGCUCUGCAUCUUAUUUCAUGUGUGAAAAGUCACUAAUCCUAUCUGUGCUUCAGAUUCCUCUUAUAAAAUAGAGGUCAUUUCUACCAAGAAUUCUGAGGCAGUGAUAUAACAUUUCAUUGAAUUUCUUAAAUGGAGUAGUCCCAAGUUCAGAGUACUGUACUCCUUGGUGAUACAUUAAGAAGGGAUGUGCCCAGAGGACUCUAGCUUGGACUAUAGCUGACUGAGAUGACCAGCACUGAUGAUAUGAAGUGGAUAAGGGGCAGAGAAAAAUGGUUUGAGAGACUUUCUACUCCAUACCCCAUUUUUAAUGACCCAAGUAUAUUUGAUAGCAGAGUAAUAAACUGGUAGGUGGCUGCAGUAGAAGAAGGACUUCAGAGUGGUGAUUGGGACCUGAAAAUUCUGCAGAGGGGCAAAUGGAACAUAAAAUAGAAGAUGAAAACCUUUAAAGGGGGAAGAGGAUGGAAGAGAGAUUAAGACUACUGGGAUUUACACUCUGGGUGUUUUCUUUCAGGUUUUCGAAGUAGAAAGUGAUCAUCCUUCUUUACGCUGUGGUCAUCCUGGAUGAAGAUACAUUUGACCAGAUGGACCUCAGGUGGGGCAAUACACAGAAGAAAGAAGCAGCAGCCUCAACUAGUUUGACUGUAGUCAUAUUUUCAUAAUAAAACAUUAUGAAACUAGAA
Molecule: non-coding RNA, 1279 nt
Organism: Monodelphis domestica (gray short-tailed opossum)
Lineage: Eukaryota; Metazoa; Chordata; Mammalia; Didelphimorphia; Didelphidae
Source: RefSeq, a predicted model, not a curated record